AGUUAAAGCUAGUUUUUUGUAUGAAAUCCCACCUCCCAAUUUGAUUUCCAUUUCAUUAGACGUUGGUCUUGACCCUUGACCCUAUGCUGUGCAGUAGCCUGAGGGCUAGGCAUAACCCUGGCGUGCAGACAAGCGUCAGUAAUUCGCUUCCUUCCUUCCUGCGAAUGCCUGUCCUGAGGCAAUAUCAAAGUUAAUGAAGCAUUGCCGAGGCCUUCAAUUUGGGACCUGCUAUUGGCAUAAAUCGGAAGGAAAACAGAGGGAAGGAAUCAGCUGAAGAAGAAGAG
This 284-nucleotide long non-coding RNA is filed under the name Drosophila guanche. The record is from RNAcentral. Lineage: Eukaryota; Metazoa; Arthropoda; Insecta; Diptera; Drosophilidae.